GACACUAUGAGUGAAAAAACUCGAGUGAAGAUAAUUAACUCUUCUGAAGAGUCCAUCAUGUUUUUUUAAUCCUCCGUAUCCUCCUUGACUACUAGCU
Molecule: long non-coding RNA, 97 nt
Organism: Sander lucioperca (pikeperch)
Lineage: Eukaryota; Metazoa; Chordata; Actinopteri; Perciformes; Percidae
Exons: 3
Source: RefSeq, a predicted model, not a curated record